UACGUCCUGCGAUGUGCGUUUCGGUUUCCGUUAUUUUGAACCAAUGACAGUUAUCUCGGGAGACCUACAUUGCGCCGCCGCUGAAAGGCCCUAUCCAUCGGAUGAGGGGACUUCAAAAGCGUCGUUGCGGUCACCCACCUGCGGGUGCAGGUUCGAGAUAAUGUAAUCGGACGGCAUAGGCGGGUCUAUG
Molecule: non-coding RNA, 190 nt
Organism: Paenibacillus sp. oral taxon 786
Lineage: Bacteria; Bacillati; Bacillota; Bacilli; Caryophanales; Paenibacillaceae
Rfam family: 6S / SsrS RNA
About the family: E. coli 6S RNA was the first non coding RNA to be sequenced, but its function was unknown until recently. It consists of 184 nucleotides that fold into an extended hairpin structure with a large single-stranded internal bulge. The 6S RNA specifically associates with RNA polymerase holoenzyme containing the sigma70 specificity factor.
Source: Rfam